This 253-nucleotide ribosomal RNA is filed under the name uncultured bacterium. RNAcentral's name for it is "partial 16S ribosomal RNA". It matches the Rfam family "Bacterial small subunit ribosomal RNA", at positions 524 to 776 of the family's 1533-position model. The record is from RNAcentral.
UACGAAGGGGGCUAGCGUUGUUCGGAAUUACUGGGCGUAAAGCGCGCGUAGGCGGACAUUUAAGUCAGGGGUGAAAUCCCAGAGCUCAACUCUGGAACUGCCUUUGAUACUGGGUGUCUAGAGUGUGGAAGAGGUGAGUGGAAUUCCGAGUGUAGAGGUGAAAUUCGUAGAUAUUCGGAGGAACACCAGUGGCGAAGGCGGCUCACUGGUCCAUAACUGACGAUGAGGUGCGAAAGCGUGGGGAGCAAACAGG